UUGGAUCAAAAUAGAAAAGAAAGUAAUUAUAAUACUAAGAUAAAUAGAGGCCGACUUCGAGUAUAAAGGAGUUCAUGAAACUUCCACAUCCACCAAAAUUCCAACAUACAUCAACAAAAGCAGGCGCUUCUUCUAACUAAUUUGAUAACAUUCCCUCCAAACGAAGAGGGUAAAGGAAAAGAAGAAAACUCCAAAGCAAUUGUUCAUAGGGACUAACAGAUAAUAAAUUAAAUAA
RNAcentral lists this unclassified non-coding RNA (235 nucleotides) under Hevea brasiliensis (rubber tree). The record is from RNAcentral. Lineage: Eukaryota; Viridiplantae; Streptophyta; Magnoliopsida; Malpighiales; Euphorbiaceae.